RNAcentral lists this ribosomal RNA (429 nucleotides) under uncultured bacterium. RNAcentral describes it as "bacterial SSU rRNA". It matches the Rfam family "Bacterial small subunit ribosomal RNA", at positions 355 to 796 of the family's 1533-position model. The record is from RNAcentral.
UCGAGGAUCUUCCACAAUGGGCGAAAGCCUGAUGGAGCGACGCCGCGUGUGCGAUGAAGGCCUUCGGGUUGUAAAGCACUGUCGAGGGGGAGAAAAGGAAACUUGAUCUACCCCUGGAGGAAGGACGGGCUAAGUUCGUGCCAGCAGCCGCGGUAAGACGAACCGUCCUAACGUUGUUCGGAAUCACUGGGCUUAAAGGGCGCGUAGGCGGUCGGCAAAGUCAGGGGUGAAAUCUUUCGGCUUAACCGGAAAAGUGCCUUUGAAACUAGUCGACUCGAGCGAGAUAGGGGCAUGUGGAACUUCCGGUGGAGCGGUGAAAUGCGUUGAUAUCGGAAGGAACGCCGGUGGCGAAAGCGACAUGCUGGAUCUCUUCUGACGCUGAGGCGCGAAAGCUAGGGGAGCAAACGGGAUUAGAUACCCCCGUAGUCC